RNAcentral lists this ribosomal RNA (253 nucleotides) under uncultured microorganism. Its description in RNAcentral is "partial 16S ribosomal RNA". It matches the Rfam family "Bacterial small subunit ribosomal RNA", at positions 524 to 776 of the family's 1533-position model. The record is from RNAcentral.
UACAGAGGGUGCAAGCGUUAAUCGGAAUUACUGGGCGUAAAGCGCGCGCAGGUGGUUUCUUAAGUCUGAUGUGAAAGCCCACGGCUCAACCGUGGAGGGUCAUUGGAAACUGGGAGACUUGAGUGCAGAAGAGGAAAGUGGAAUUCCAUGUGUAGCGGUGAAAUGCGUAGAGAUAUGGAGGAACACCAGUAGCGAAGGCGGCUAUCUGGCUGGUAACUGACGCUGAGGUGCGAGAGCGUGGGGAGCAAACGGG